This 73-nucleotide transfer RNA is filed under the name Ictidomys tridecemlineatus (thirteen-lined ground squirrel). Its description in RNAcentral is "Spermophilus tridecemlineatus (thirteen-lined ground squirrel) tRNA". It matches the Rfam family "tRNA". Rfam says of the family: Transfer RNA (tRNA) molecules are approximately 80 nucleotides in length. Their secondary structure includes four short double-helical elements and three loops (D, anti-codon, and T loops). The record is from Rfam by way of RNAcentral. Lineage: Eukaryota; Metazoa; Chordata; Mammalia; Rodentia; Sciuridae.
GGGGAUAUAGCUCAGCUGUUAGGGUGUCUGCCUCGUAUGUACAAGGCCCUGGGUUUAAUCCCCAGCACUACCC